AUAACAUGACCUCAUUGAGGAGCCGCUAGGCUUAAUGGGGAAUCGGAUGAAAAUUUCGGACUGUACCCGCAACUGUAACUGAGAAGUGAACUGCAUAACCACUGGCUAUUGCUGGGAAGGUGUGGCAAGCGAUGAUCCAGAAGUCAGGAAACCCGCCUUAAUGCAACACUGGAA
Molecule: non-coding RNA, 174 nt
Filed under: Shewanella benthica
Lineage: Bacteria; Pseudomonadati; Pseudomonadota; Gammaproteobacteria; Alteromonadales; Shewanellaceae
Source: RNAcentral